This is a long non-coding RNA of Onychomys torridus (southern grasshopper mouse), 2564 nucleotides long. RefSeq lists it as uncharacterized. The record is from RefSeq and is a predicted model, not a curated record. NCBI's taxonomy places the organism in Eukaryota, Metazoa, Chordata, Mammalia, Rodentia, Cricetidae. The transcript is spliced from 4 exons.
CUCCAGCUCUCCCUCUCCCCGUCUCUCCCUCUCCCUCACUUUCGCUUGAAUUUGUCCUACAUUUCGUAAUGUUACGUGUCUGCCAUCCUUAUCCUAUGCCAGAGGUACACUGCCAGCCUCACCCCCUUCUGGACAGGAGUUCUCUGACUUCAGUAGCACUUGGGAUAUUCCACAUCAGUGCCAUGGGAAGGAAGACAAGGCCUGAAGACGAGUCUGCAUCAUCUAGGAAGUUUCCCUGCUUCGUUAGAAUAUCUUCGUUUUCUUUAUCAUACGCUGGCACGCCACGCCAGUACACCACUCCAUGGAAUGCCUGCUGUUGGACACUUGCAGAGCUCUGCCACCAAGCAACCUCCUGCAUUGGAAAUCGGGGACUCCUCCAGGAUCUUAUGUGUGCUUGCUGUUUGAAGCUGCAGAAAAGUGAAUAAUCAAUUAAGUAUUGAUUUCUUGUAAGAUUUGGUAAAUUUCAAAGGCAAGACAAAGAGGAUGGCUUAAGGAAACACUGCAGGGACGUGGCGUAAAUUAGACAACUAACGGAGAUGCAGAAUAAUAUAACACCUCAACUGAAGAUUUCCUUGGAAGAAUUAGCACUAGCUAUUGGAAGACAAUGGUGGAUUUAAUCAAAACAGCAGGCAUGCAAGAAUUUCACUCGUGAACCAGAAAAGGAGCUAAUUAUAACCACCUUUUUAAUGGAGCUAAUUUGACUGAAUGGAUGCAAAUGUGCUUUACUUAUGGAUGAAGAAGCAAGCCUUUCUGCAUGAUCUUGGGAUCAUCUUAUCUGUUAAGCUUUGCAGCUCCUGUCCCCUUCCGAACAUUUUUAUUUCCAGAGAAGGUAUUUAUAUGUAAACAACAGUUAACCAUGCAAAAGAUUCAUCGGGACAAUAUACUAUGGCAUAUGAGCUAUAAUCAUCAUUCUGCAGGCUCUCAGGAUUUCAUCUAACUUGGGGCUUUUGCAACCUUUGCAUGCAAUGAGUGAUGGUGAAGUCUUCUUAAGAAGUGGAUUGGCUCCUUCAUCUUUCAGUACAUGAUGUCAGUUUCCAGCAAUAGCAGAUGUUCUAGUUGAAGACAAAAGAACAUUAGUAAUCUGAAGAAAAUAUUCUCAAAAGAAAAUUAUAGAGUUGGAUUAGAAGAUUUCAUAUAUCAUCUUGUUCCUAUUCAAGACUAAAGUGUGGUCAUUGGAAAGGAAAUAAUUUAAAAAUGUGAGAUAAUUUGUUUCUGGAAAGUAGCCAAAGUGACAAUCAAAGCUUAUUUAUCCAUUCAUUUUAAUAAAAUAUCCUAAAUGUUUAUAAGCAUUGAAAUAGGCAUUAGUCCCAGUUUAUCAUGAAGUGCUCAUUCAUUUAACAAGGUUGAAGUAUGAUAUUAUUACCUUUUUGUAAGGUGAUAUGAAAAUGUCAAUACCAUUUGUGGAUCCUUACAAUGUUCCAGAAAUUGUAUUUCCUUACCUUUGCUGAAAUGUAAACUUUGUCAGUUGCUAUCAGAAACCAUAGAAAUGGCUUAUUAAUUUAUUCCAAUUUAAGAGUAAGUUUUUUGGAAUUCAAAAAAAACUUCAGGAUGAUGUUCAUUACAUUGGAAUAUUUGAGGAUAAUGACAAUACUCAAAAUAAUUUAAUUAUGUUACAUAUUAAAAUUUGUCAUUGAAAUUUGUUUUACUUUAUUCAAACUAUUACAAAUAUGUAAGCUCAGAACAACAAAUGCAAUUGUAUUUAUCACAUACUUUAAAAGCAAAUCAGUUAAUAGUUUACAUAGCAGAGGUAUCUAAUGAAAUAAUUCAAAUAGUUAUUUUUUUCCCUUUUCAUCCUUUAUUUUCUCUGUGCCCUGUUAGCUAUAAUCAGCUUAUGUAUCAUAAUUGGAGGAAAUUCAGUGAGUUACUCUAUUUUUGACUUUAACCUCACCUGCUUAGUUUAUCAUAUAAAACCUCCCCCUGAUCAGGUGACAGUGACAAGCUUUGCAGUCAUGGCCUUGAACGCCAGCUCCAGAAAUCUGAAACUUACCUGGCGGGGUAUGUCCCAUAUAAGUAUAUCUAGCUUCACUUUCAUUGUGCAUAAAUUUAUCAAUUAAUCUAUAAAAAGCAUUCCCAGAGGAAAGCCUAGUGAGCCUUAAACAAUAAAACAGAAGGUCUUGGGAGGGGUUUCAACAAGGAUAAGUUCUAGGAAAUCCAGGGGUGUUGGGGUGAUUUCCAACUCUCUAUGUAUGGGGCCGAGGAGGUCCAAAGAGAGGGGAACACAAUGGCGCAGUCACGAACCAUGAAUAGCUAAUUUGCCAAUGUUUCAAAGUAUAUGUAAAAGAGGCACUUCACUGCAAAUGGUAAGGUUUGUUAAUAGGAUAGUUAAUGGAUUGUCUUCAAAGUUAGAGACCGACGUUUUCAUUCAUUUUAAUUCCUGCUUUAAUUUUAUCAUGUUAUUCUUGAAUUCUUGAAAACUUUGCUUAUAUUUUCUCUCAUUUUAUUUGUGUGUGUGUGUGUGUGUGUGUGUGUGUGUGUGUGUGUGUGUGCACCUGUGAAUGUAGUAGAGGACAGAGAUUGACAUCAGGUGUCUCCCUCUGUUACUUUCCACCAUGUUUUCUUUUGUG